AUUGAACGCUGGCGGCAUGCCUUACACAUGCAAGUCGAACGGCAGCACGGGAGCAAUCCUGGUGGCGAGUGGCGAACAGGUGAGUAAUGUAUCGGAACGUGCCCAGUCGUGGGGGAUAACGUAGCGAAAGCUACGCUAAUACCGCAUACGAUCUAUGGAUGAAAGCGGGGGAUCGCAAGACCUCGCGCGAUUGGAGCGGCCGAUAUCAGAUUAGGUAGUUGGUGGGGUAAAGGCUCACCAAGCCGACGAUCUGUAGCUGGUCUGAGAGGACGACCAGCCACACUGGGACUGAGACACGGCCCAGACUCCUACGGGAGGUAGGAGUGGGGAAUUUUGGACAAUGGGCGCAAGCCUGAUCCAGCAAUGCCACGUGCAGGAUGAAGGCCUUCGGGUUGUAAACUGCUUUUGUACGGAACGAAACGGCGAGCUCUAAUACAGUUUGCUAAUGACGGUACCGUAAGAAUAAGCACCGGCUAACUACGUGCCAGCCGCCGCAGUAA
RNAcentral lists this ribosomal RNA (500 nucleotides) under uncultured bacterium. RNAcentral's name for it is "partial 16S ribosomal RNA". It matches the Rfam family "Bacterial small subunit ribosomal RNA", at positions 30 to 523 of the family's 1533-position model. The record is from RNAcentral.